GAAAACUUGAGUGCAGAAGAGGACAGUGGAACUCCAUGUGUAGCGGUGAAAUGCGUAGAUAUAUGGAAGAACACCAGUGGCGAAGGCGGCUGUCUGGUCUGUAACUGACGCUGAGGCUCGAAAGUAUGGGGAGCGAACAGGAUUAGAUACCCUGGUAGUCCAUACCGUAAACGAUGAAUGCUAAGUGUUGGAGGGUUUCCGCCCUUCAGUGCUGCAGCUAACGCAUUAAGCAUUCCGCCUGGGGAGUACGACCGCAAGGUUGAAACUCAAAGGAAUUGACGGGGGCCCGCACAAGCGGUGGAGCAUGUGGUUUAAUUCGAAGCAACGCGAAGAACCUUACCAGGUCUUGACAUCCUUUGACCACUGUAGAGAUACAGCUUUCCCUUCGGGGACAAAGUGACAGGUGGUGCAUGGUUGUCGUCAGCUCGUGUCGUGAGAUGUUGGGUUAAGUCCCGCAACGAGCGCAACCCUUAUGACUAGUUGCCAGCAUUUAGUUGGGCACUCUAGUAAGACUGCCGGUGACAAACCGGAGGAAGGUGGGGAUGACGUCAAAUCAGCAUGCCCCUUAUGACCUGGGCUACACACGUGCUACAAUGGUCGGUACAACGAGUUGCGAACCCGCGAGGGUAAGCUAAUCUCUUAAAGCCGAUCUCAGUUCGGAUUGUAGGCUGCAACUCGCCUACAUGAAGCCGGAAUCGCUAGUAAUCGCGGAUCAGCACGCCGCGGUGAAUACGUUCCCGGGCCUUGUACACACCGCCCGUCACACCAUGAGAGUUUGUAACACCCGAAGUCGGUGGGGUAACCCUUUUAGGGAACUAGC
Molecule: ribosomal RNA, 820 nt
Filed under: Lactobacillus sp. sh.zh3
Lineage: Bacteria; Bacillati; Bacillota; Bacilli; Lactobacillales; Lactobacillaceae
Description: bacterial SSU rRNA
Rfam family: Bacterial small subunit ribosomal RNA
Source: RNAcentral